CCUACGGGAGGCAGCAGUUAGGAAUAUUGGACAAUGGACGCAAGUCUGAUCCAGCCAUGCCGCGUGAGCGAUGAAGGCCUUCGGGUUGUAAAGCUCUUUAGCCGAUGAUUAUAAUGACUGUAGUCGGAAAAUAAGCCCCGGCUAACUUCGUGCCAGCAGCCGCGGUAAUACGAAGGGGGCGAGCGUUGUUCGGAAUCACUGGGCGUAAAGCGUGCGUAGGCUGUUUUGCAAGUUGGAAGUGAAAGCCCAAGGCUCAACCUUGGAAUUGCUUUCAAAACUGCAAGACUCGAAUUCGGGAGAGGAUAGCGGAAUUCUCAGUGUAGUAGUGAAAUACGUAGAUAUUGAGAGGAACACCGGUGGCGUAAGCGGCUAUCUGGACCGACAUUGACGCUGAGGCACGAAAGCGUGGGGAUCAAACAGGAUUAGAUACCCUGGUAGUCCACGCUGUAAACGAUGUGUGCUUGUCGCUGGGAGGUUUACCUUUCGGUGACGUAGCUAACGCGUUAAGCACACCGCCUGGGAAGUACGGCCGCAAGGUUAAAACUCAAAUGAAUUGACGGCUGAGACGNGCGAGCGACGACGAGGAGAG
Molecule: ribosomal RNA, 589 nt
Filed under: uncultured bacterium
Lineage: Bacteria
Description: bacterial SSU rRNA
Rfam family: Bacterial small subunit ribosomal RNA
Source: RNAcentral